UUGUUUAAAGAAUAAAUUUAUCAUAAUUUUAAAAUAAUUUACAGAAUGUUAUAAAUUAUUAUAAAAUUAAAUUUACUUUAUAUUGAAUAUUUGUUUAUUGUUAAAUUUUUUUUAGAAUUUCUUUUUGAUUUAUUUUUUCCAUCGACACUACUAAAAAGGCAGGCCCUCUAAAUACUUACCUUAUUUUGUAAUUUCGAUAUAUCAUUUAAUUCAUCGAUCCCACUAUAAUAGGAAAGUACCUUUGAAUACUAAUUGCAAGGGAAAACAUAAUUUAAUGACCAAUUAACAUCACUUUCCAAAUGACUUACAUAAUAUUAUUAAUAACUAUUUAUGGUAACUAAUUGUCGAAAGUAUGGUAUAUAAAUCCAUUUUAUUAAUUCAAAUAAAUAUUUUGGAUUCCAAAUGACUUACAUAAUAUUAUUAAUAACUAUUUAUGGUAACUAAUUGUCGAAAGUAUGGUAUAUAAAGUCAUUUUAUCAAUUCAAGUAAAUAUUUUGGUUUAUUAUUUUAUGUAGUCUAUAGAUAUAUUAGAAUAUAAAGUCAUUUUAUCAAAUCAAAUAAUUUAUUUUAAUUCAUUGAUCCCCUAUAAAAGAAAAUUAGCAUUGAAUACUGAUUGAAAAGGAAAAAAUAAUUUAAUCCCUCUAUUAACGUUACUUGCGCAACAAUAUUAGUUAAUACAUGUAAUAAUUAGUUUCCUUAUUACAAAUGGAAAUAAUUCUCUUGAUUUUGUUGAUUGAUUUUUUAGAAUUUCUGUUUCGAUUUAUUUUAAUCAUCGACACUACUAAAAAUGAAAUCACUUUAAUACUUAACUUUUGUGUUUUCUCGAUUCAAAGAACAUCUUUUUGCGAUCAUUUCUCUGUUUAAUUCAUUAAAUACUCACUAAAUAUUUUAGAUGUUAGAGAAACGAAAUUAAUUGACAAGAUAUUUUUUCUCCUAAAAUCAUGCAUUUAAAAUUUAAUAUUUAUGGUGAGACUUGUCAACCAAAAUUCUGGUGCAAUCUAUUCACGAGAUGUUCUCCUUUAGCUUUAUUAACAAGAUAUUCCAAAAAUAAUAUUACCUUAUAAGUAUAAGAUUUAUUGAGAAUUUAUUAAAGAAUAUUCUACUUCUUAGCUUAUCAUGCAAGCUAAAUCAAUGAGAAACGUCUACCAAUUUACUAUAAAUAAGACAUUCACAGUAGAAGAAACGAAAUAAUUGAACUUUGUAUUCUGAACUUUUAAUGUUAAUAAUGUUCUGAACUUUUUUUUCUUCUUAUUUUAGAACAUUAAGUUUUUAUAUUUCAUGAGAGCUGAUUUUUCUUUUGGUUUAUAUGCAGAUACCCUAUUAUGACGAUUUCUCCACUGAAGCUAUAUAUGAUUUGAUUGUACACCUCUUUGAUAUAUCAUUUCGAUAACAUCUUUGUUCCUCAAUCUGAGAUGAUUUGAGAGAAGUUGUCAUAUUUCAGACCUCUAAGAGUUCACCAUUCCGAUCCUGCAAAAGAUGUGCACUUAGAAUGGUAUUUUCUCUACUGUACAUCAAAAUUGGAUAAUCAAUUAUAUUUUUAAAAUAUCUAUAGUAGGAUGGUAUUUUCUCUACUGAAAUAAUAUCUUAUUUCCUAAUCUCAUGCUUUAAUAUUUAAAAUAGGUGUUAGACAUGGAUCGACCAGAUUGAAACAUGGUCGAAUGAUAACUGUCCAAACAAAGUAAAUAGUUUGAUGUUCGACGAUCACAUCUAGACUAUGGACAGAUGCAAACACGUUUUGUAAAGACCUAAUAGUGAUCCCUGAGGACAAUGUGAUUGACAUUGCUUAGCACACAUGCUUAACCGGGACACUACAUGUCAAAGGACAUGAGAAACGACCUAAGAGGUCUAAGUGGUCUUGAUUACGGUUCAGUAAUGAAACUGGCCGAUUACUCCCAUUCUAUACCUACAGGAUAGAUCACGCAUUAGAUGCGUAGUAUGUAGAACCUACACCGAGGUUCACAUCAGGGGGAGUAGUGCGUGUUGUACUCUUUUUCCUUCAUCAUGGUUUUGUCCCACUGGGUUUUCCUGAUAAGGUUUUAAUGAGGCAACAUUAAAGCGUACUACAAAUCCUGUAUGGUUAUGGCAUCCAAGGGGGAGUGUUAUAAAACAUGUGUGGAUUGCCAUUAACCAAGACAAGAAGAGAUGGCCCAUCAGGCCACGACCAGUCCAUCCGCGACAAUGUCCAAGAGGAGAGAGAGAGAGCCGACUUCAGGAGAGAGAGAGGCGGCCACAAGCUUGGAGAGAAAAGGAAACCCUUUCCUUUUCCUUAUAGAUGUUAUCUUUCCUUUUAUGUAUUUAGUAGAUUUCCUAUUUCAUAUAGGAUUAGGAUAAGUACUCUUUCCAUUUAUCUCUAUCUUGUAAUCCUUAUAUAAGGAACCCCCUUUGUUCAUUAAUAACACACACGAAAUAUUCA
Brassica rapa (field mustard) is the source of this 2413-nucleotide long non-coding RNA. RefSeq lists it as uncharacterized. NCBI's taxonomy places the organism in Eukaryota, Viridiplantae, Streptophyta, Magnoliopsida, Brassicales, Brassicaceae. The record is from RefSeq and is a predicted model, not a curated record.